GUGUUUAGUUUAGCAACAUAUAUACUAAAAUUGAAAUAACACAAAGAAAAUUAGCUUGGCCCCUGAGUAAUAAUGACACAUAAAUUUGCAAACUGCUCCAUUAAAAA
Molecule: small nuclear RNA, 107 nt
Organism: Phascolarctos cinereus (koala)
Lineage: Eukaryota; Metazoa; Chordata; Mammalia; Diprotodontia; Phascolarctidae
Source: Ensembl